RNAcentral lists this ribosomal RNA (467 nucleotides) under uncultured bacterium. RNAcentral describes it as "bacterial SSU rRNA". It matches the Rfam family "Bacterial small subunit ribosomal RNA", at positions 28 to 508 of the family's 1533-position model. The record is from RNAcentral.
GGUUAACGCUGGCGGCGUGCCUAACACAUGCAAGUCGAACGGUUCUAAGCGCGAGCUUAGGAUAGUGGCGAACGGGUGAGUAAAAGGUAGGAAUCUACCCCUUGGACGGAGAUAGCUACUGGAAACGGUAGGUAAACUUCGAUAAGCCCGAGAGGGGAAAGUGGUGAGACAGCCGAGGGAUGAGCCUACUCUCCAUCAGGUAGUUGGUGAGAUAAAAGCUUACCAAGCCGAUGACGGAUAACCGGUGUGAGAGCAUGAACGGUCACAAGGGCACUGAGAGACGGGCCCUACUCCUACGGGAGGCAGCAGUGGGGAAUCUUGGACAAUGGGCGAAAGCCUGAUCCAGCGACGCCGCGUGGAGGAAGAAGUCCUUCGGGAUGUAAACUUCUGAACUAGCCGAAUAAAAGGACCUGUGGACACACAGGAGAAGAAAGUAGGCUAGGAAAAGUACCCGGCUAACUACGUAG